GACGAACGCUGGCGGCGUGCUUAACACAUGCAAGUCGAGCGGAAAGGCCCUGCUUUUGCGUGGUGCUCGAGUGGCGCACGGGUGUGUAACACGUGAGUAUCCUGCCCUUGACUGUGGGAUAACUUCAGGAAACUGCGGCUAAUACCGGAUAGGAGCUCCUGAUGCAUGGUGGGGGUUGGAAAGUUUCGGCGGUUGGGGAUGGACUCGCGGCUUAUGAGCUGGUUGGUGGGGUAGUGGCUUACGAAGGCUUUGACGGAUAGCCCGCCUGAGAGGGUGACCAGGGACAAUGCGACUACGAGAGGGCGCAGACGGCAAUGGUAGGCAGCAGGGGGGAAUAUGGCACAGUGGGGGGACGCGUGAGGCGACGGUGCCGCGUGCGUAAUGACGGCCUUCUGGUUGUAAACCGCUGUCGCCUGUGACGAAGCGUUAUUGACGGUAAUGGGUAAAGAAGCACCGGCUAACUACGUG
This 468-nucleotide ribosomal RNA is filed under the name uncultured bacterium. RNAcentral's name for it is "partial 16S ribosomal RNA". It matches the Rfam family "Bacterial small subunit ribosomal RNA", at positions 28 to 507 of the family's 1533-position model. The record is from RNAcentral.